UUCUUUCAAGUUUUAUUGAAAGUUGGGCCUGCCCACUGAUUUAUGAAGGGCCGCGGUAUACUGACCGUGCUAAGGUAGCAUAAUCAUUAGUCCUCUAAUUAGGGAAUAGAAUGAAUGGCUUAACUAACUGUUGUUUUAUUAUUUAUUUUUCUUUGAGUUUUUGAAGUAAGUGAAAACCCUUACUUUCCUGAAAAAGACGAUAAGACCCUUUAGAUCUUUAUUUAAUUUUUUUUUAUAAAAUUUUGGUUGUGACUUUAUAGAUAAUUUUAAUUUUUGUUGGGGCAACAAAAGAAUAAGUGAAACUUCUUUACUUGUGUUUAUUUUUAUUUAAUCCUUUUUAAAGCUUAGAAAAAGUUACCUAAGGGAUAACAGCGUUAUACUUUUAGAGAGUUCACAUCGAUACAAGUGUUUGCGACCUCGAUGUUGAAUUAAGAUUUCUACUUAGGGGCAGCUUUUUAGUCAGAGGGUCUGUUCGACCUUUAAAUUCUU
This 489-nucleotide ribosomal RNA is filed under the name Lepidocyrtus (Ascocyrtus) sp. 2 FZ-2013. Its description in RNAcentral is "partial 16S ribosomal RNA". It matches the Rfam family "Bacterial large subunit ribosomal RNA", at positions 1831 to 2597 of the family's 2925-position model. The record is from RNAcentral. Lineage: Eukaryota; Metazoa; Arthropoda; Collembola; Entomobryomorpha; Entomobryidae.